UGGGGGGGGGACGCAGCAGGCCGGGGAGCUCAAGACCGCCCUGCACUGCCCGUCCUGCCCCCAGA
RNAcentral lists this microRNA precursor (65 nucleotides) under Monodelphis domestica (gray short-tailed opossum). RNAcentral describes it as "microRNA mdo-mir-12369 precursor". The record is from miRBase by way of RNAcentral. Lineage: Eukaryota; Metazoa; Chordata; Mammalia; Didelphimorphia; Didelphidae.